UUUUAAAUGUGGUUUGUUAUUGUAGCA
RNAcentral lists this non-coding RNA (27 nucleotides) under Cricetulus griseus (Chinese hamster). The record is from RNAcentral. Lineage: Eukaryota; Metazoa; Chordata; Mammalia; Rodentia; Cricetidae. RNAcentral also lists the same sequence under 1 other name.